Molecule: ribosomal RNA, 468 nt
Filed under: uncultured bacterium
Lineage: Bacteria
Description: partial 16S ribosomal RNA
Rfam family: Bacterial small subunit ribosomal RNA
Source: RNAcentral
GACGAACGCUGGCGGCGUGCUUAGCACAUGCAAGUCGAACGGAAAGGCCCUGCUUUUGUGGGGUGCUCGAGUGGCGAACGGGUGAGUAACACGUGAGUAACCUGCCCUUGACUUUGGGAUAACUUCAGGAAACUGGGGCUAAUACCGGAUAGCAGCUCCUGCUGCAUGGUGGGGGUUGGAAAGUUUCGGCGGUUGGGGAUGGACUCGCGGCUUAUCGGCUUGUUGGUGGGGGAGUGGCUUACCCAGGCUUUGACGGGUAGCCGGCCUGUGAGGGUGGCCGGCCACAUGGGGACUGCGAUACGGCCCAGACGCCUACGUUAGGCAGCAGGGGGGAAUAUUGCACAAUGGGCGGAAGCCUGAGGCAGCAACGCCGCGUGCGGGAUGACGGCCUUCGGGUUGUAAACCGCUUUCGCCUGUGACGAAGCGUGAGUGACGGUAAUGGGUAAAGAAGCACCGGCUAACUACGUG